Molecule: ribosomal RNA, 406 nt
Filed under: uncultured bacterium
Lineage: Bacteria
Description: partial 16S ribosomal RNA
Rfam family: Bacterial small subunit ribosomal RNA
Source: RNAcentral
AUUGAACGCUGGCGGCAGGCUUAACACAUGCAAGUCGAGCGAGCGGCGGACGGGUGAGUAAUGUAUGGGAAACUGCCUGAUGGAGGGGGAUAACUACUGGAAACGGUAGCUAAUACCGCAUACCAUCAGAUGUGCCCAGAUGGGAUUAGCUUGUAGGUGGGGUAAUGGCUCACCUAGGCGACGAUCCCUAGCUGGUCGGCGAGGAUGACCAGCCACACUGGAACUGAGACACGGUCCAGACUCCUACGGGAGGCAGCAGUGGGGAAGAUUGCACAAUGGGCGCAAGCCUGAUGCAGCCAUGCCGCGUGUGUGAAGAAGGCCUUCGGGUUGUAAAGCACUUUCAGCGAGGAGGCGUUACUCGCAGAAGAAGCACCGGCUAACUCCGUGCCAGCAGCCGCGGUAAUUC